AGCAGAGCCGCGGGAAUACAGAGGGUGCGAGCGUUAAUCGGAUUUACUGGGCGUAAAGCGUGCGUAGGCGGCUUUUUAAGUCGGAUGUGAAAUCCCUGAGCUUAACUUAGGAAUUGCAUUCGAUACUGGGAAGCUAGAGUAUGGGAGAGGAUGGUAGAAUUCCAGGUGUAGCGGUGAAAUGCGUAGAGAUCUGGAGGAAUACCGAUGGCGAAGGCAGCCAUCUGGCCUAAUACUGACGCUGAGGUACGAAAGCAUGGGGAGCAAACAGGAUUAGAUACCCCUGUAGUCCCUGUCUCUUAUACA
RNAcentral lists this ribosomal RNA (303 nucleotides) under uncultured bacterium. Its description in RNAcentral is "partial 16S ribosomal RNA". It matches the Rfam family "Bacterial small subunit ribosomal RNA", at positions 510 to 808 of the family's 1533-position model. The record is from RNAcentral.